GACGCGGGGCAGGUGCUGUGGGGGUGGUGGAAGUUUCGGUUCAGCGUCGUCGGGGAGCUGCCUGGAGGAGAUGGCAAGUGGCCGAGAGGAAGAUAAAUAGUUCGUUGGUGGCCUGAUACAAGCAAAAAGGACCCAAAAGACUAUUUUACCAAAUUUGGAGAGGUCCUUGACCAUACUAUAAAAAUGGAUCCCAACAUUGGAAGAUGAAGGGGUUUGGGGUUUAUCCCCUUUAAAAAUGGAGAAGAUGGAUUAGGAGGUAAAUAACCCAAACAGAGCAUACUGCACCAUAUGGAGAAAAGAACUUGCAAUUGGAUACAGUGGAGAAGGGGAUAGAAAAGCAUGUAUGGAGACUGUAUCUCACAAGUCCAGGAUGAGGCAGGCAAUACUUCUAAAUCAGUCAAAAGUGUUUUGAGCCCAGCCAGCAUGGCUCAGUGGUUGAGCAUCGACCUAUGAACCAGGAGGUCACAGUUCCAUUCCCGGUCAAGGACACAUGCCUGGGUUGCAGGCUCAAUUCCCAGUGGGUAGUGUGCAAGAGGCAGCCAAUCAAUGACCCUCUCUCAUCAUUGAUGU
This is a long non-coding RNA of Eptesicus fuscus (big brown bat), 570 nucleotides long. RefSeq lists it as uncharacterized. Lineage: Eukaryota; Metazoa; Chordata; Mammalia; Chiroptera; Vespertilionidae. The transcript has 3 exons. The record is from RefSeq and is a predicted model, not a curated record.